UUUCGUAGGUGAACUGCGGAGGAUCAUUAAUAAAUUUUUUUUUGAAAUAAAAAAAAUAUAAUCAUCCUACCUUUGUGAAUUGUUUGUUUGAAUAAUUUUUAAAAUUAUUUAUUGUCUAUCCAAGUUGGAAGUUGUAAAGACUCGAAGACUUGAGCGGCAUAAUAAGUUUAAAGACUUUUUUUAAAAUUAACUUUUGUAUUCAUUUGUCUAAAUAAUUUUAUAAUAUAUAAAAACAACUUUUGACAAUGGAUCUCUGGUUCUCGCAACGAUGAAGAACGCAGCAAAAUGCGAUAAGUAAUGUGAAUUGCAGAAUACGUGAAUCAUCGAAUCUUCGAACGCAUAUUGCACUUUUAGUUCCAAAAAAGUAGUCUGUUUGAGUAUCAGUAAAUAUUCUCAUAAAAUUUUUAAUUUUAUGGUUAUGAGUGUUUUACAACGAUAACAGUUGUUUCACUUUAAAUUGAUUUUUUGAAGAAUUCUUAAUUCAAAUUAAAUUUGGAUAAAAUUUUCCCGUAAAAGGAAUAACUAUACAAGUUUAUAAGAAUUAGUGAUUUCUUUUAUGAAAGGAAAUUUAUUAAAUAACUUGAUCUCAAAUCAGAUAAGAUACCCGCUGAACUUAAGCAUAUAAUAAGCGAGGAAAAGAAACUAACAAGGAUUCCCUAGUAACGGCGAGUGAAGCGGGAAGAGCUCAAAUUUGAAUCUUAAAGGGUUUCCCUUUACGAAUUGUAGUUAUAAAGAAGUGUUUCCUGUUGAGGUUUUGGUAAAGUUCUUUGGAAUAGGACAUCAUAGGGGUGAGAAUCCGUAUUUACCUUUACUUUCAACUUUGUGAUACACUUUCAAAGAGUCGGAUUGUUUGGGAAUGCAGUCCAAAAUGGUGGUAAAUUUCAUCUAAAGCUAAUAUUGGCGAGAGACGAUAGCGAACAAGUACCGUGAGGGAAGAUGAAAAGAACUUUGAAAAGAGAGUUAAACAGUACGUGAAAUUGUCAAAAGGGAAGCGUUGACACCAGUGUUGUUUUUCUGAAAUCAAUUAAAGAACUGUUUAUGCUAAGUUGUUUAGACUUUAUCAGCUAACUGUUAGUUUGAGCUUUUCUUAAUGCAUUUCAGUUAACAAGUCACAUCAAUUCUUUUGCUGUAAAAAAGCUUGAGGAGGUGGCUUGAGAUCGUCUUAAGUGUUUAUAGCCUCUUGCCUAUGCAGUCGGAGAGAUUGAGGUGCAGCGUAGAUCCUUCGGGCUAAAUGCAUUUGUGCUAGUUAUAGCAUUUUAUAGACAACUUGUUGAUAUGAUUGUCUUGUAGUUACUCGCUUAUGUUAUUUACCUACUUAGAUGU
This 1323-nucleotide unclassified non-coding RNA is filed under the name uncultured Neocallimastigales. Its description in RNAcentral is "partial contains small subunit ribosomal RNA, internal transcribed spacer 1, 5.8S ribosomal RNA, internal transcribed spacer 2, and large subunit ribosomal RNA". The stretch from base 582 to 1323 matches the Rfam family "Eukaryotic large subunit ribosomal RNA", at positions 1 to 634 of the family's 3401-position model. The record is from RNAcentral. Lineage: Eukaryota; Fungi; Neocallimastigomycota; Neocallimastigomycetes; Neocallimastigales.